AGAUUCACCGAUACAAAAUUUGAAUGAAUCACGCACCAAGUAAGAUCUAAGCAUGGCUUCUGCUAAAGUUAUGGCAGCCAGGAGGCUGAAUGCACCUGAGGCAAUGCAUGUCACCGAACGUCCCAUAACAAACUGAGGGCUGCUGGUAUGAGCCAUCAUACAAUAUUCCAUUAGGUUUUUUUUGAGUUUCUCAAGUGCUAUGGUGUCUGUUUCGCUUAAGCUUUCUUUCUGGGCUAUUUCAUGUUUUUUCUUGUACUUCUUCUCUAGAUAAUGCUUUGUAGUUGGAACAGGUAAAGCGGAAAAACUGAGGAUCAAAAGCAUCACAAGCAUGAUAAACAUGAUAAAAGCGUGUUCUUUCCAGAAAAUGUAAAUGACUCCAGUUCCUAAUUGAAUGCCAACAUUGACGACAACGGUAAUAACAAGUAUUCCCAGAGCUAUAAUGUUUGAGAAAAGUUCUGUAUUCUCCAUGAUACCAAGAGAAGGCAUGGAAUUACCCAUUAUUGUGCAGAUAAAAACAGAGCUGCUUAGUUUUGCCAGUUGAUCCUGGCAGCGAGGCAUGGAGGUAU
Molecule: long non-coding RNA, 566 nt
Filed under: Carica papaya (papaya)
Lineage: Eukaryota; Viridiplantae; Streptophyta; Magnoliopsida; Brassicales; Caricaceae
Description: long non-coding RNA (CPAP_LNC010375)
Source: RNAcentral